UUUUUGACCAUUAUCCUAUCCGAAAUAGAACUCGAAAUGUUAGGCUUGAUGGUUUUCAUGUUUAUUCUACCCUUGCCACCCUUCAUGAACCCUACUCUUUUCAUGAAGCCUCUUCUAACCCUCUAUGGCAGCAUGUAUUGAAAGAAGAAUAUAAUGCUUUAGAGAAAAAUUAAACUUGAGACUUCGUUGACUUACCUCA
Molecule: long non-coding RNA, 199 nt
Filed under: Elaeis guineensis (African oil palm)
Lineage: Eukaryota; Viridiplantae; Streptophyta; Magnoliopsida; Arecales; Arecaceae
Description: long non-coding RNA (EGUI_LNC014608)
Source: RNAcentral